UACCGGCGAGAAAUCGCCGACAAUGCCGCAUAGGCUCGUGCUCUCUUUGACGAGAGGCACGAGCAAAGCUUUGCGCGUGCGAACGAGCGAGGUGCCCUGGGAGGAGCCUGCGUCCGAUUAGCUAGUUGGUGGGGUAACGGCCUACCAAGGCGACGAUCGGUAGCUGGUCUGAGAGGAUGGUCAGCCACACUGGGACUGAGACACGGCCCAA
RNAcentral lists this ribosomal RNA (211 nucleotides) under uncultured bacterium. Its description in RNAcentral is "partial 16S ribosomal RNA". It matches the Rfam family "Bacterial small subunit ribosomal RNA", at positions 144 to 334 of the family's 1533-position model. The record is from RNAcentral.